CGUAAACAAAGAAAAGCCCGCUGUCGCUAUUUCCUGGUGUCUGCAGCCCAUUCUCGCACGGAUUCUUGGAGUUCAAUUGGGUCCCAAUUCCAAGCUCUCCCUCACGAGCUCUCCGUAUCCUUGAUCACCGACCUCUAACCGCAAUACCCUUCUGGUUUUUGGGUGUUUUGAAGUCAAUAGCAAAUGUUGUUGUGUUGGAAUUGGCAACGCUCAUUAUGCGGGUUAGCUAUCAGCUAGACAUAAGUUAGCACAGCCCAUGAAGUAUCAGGAUAUUAUCAGUUCUCUCUUAGCCUACUCAACUCCAUUAUGGGCAACGUUGCUGGCCGUCGUUUUUGUGGUUAUAACACUUGCCUUGUCAUUUUACCUUUUGUUCGAGCACCUUUCUGCAUACAAGGACCCUGAGGAACAAAAGUUUUUAAUAGGAGUUAUCCUAAUGGUUCCUUGUUAUGCCAUAGAAUCAUUUGCAUCGCUGGUGAAUCCAUCAAUUAGUGUUGAUAUUGAGAUACUAAGGGACUGCUAUGAAUCAUUUGCCAUGUAUUGCUUUGGAAGAUACCUGGUUGCUUGCUUGGGAGGGGAAGAUAGAACUAUUGAAUUUAUGGAAAGACAGGGACGUUUAAGUUCUAAGACACCCCUUUUGGAAUCCAGUCAUGAGAAGGGAAUUGUAAAGCAUCCUUUUCCAAUGAAUUAUAUCUUGAAACCUUGGAAGCUUGGUCACUGGUUUUAUCAAAUUGUCAAGUUUGGAAUUGUUCAAUAUAUGCUAAUCAAGUCUUUGAGUGCAAUAUUAGCAGUGGUUCUUGAAGCCUUUGGUGUGUAUUGUGAAGGGGAGUUUAAAUGGGGAUGUGGGUAUCCUU
Molecule: unclassified non-coding RNA, 851 nt
Filed under: Hevea brasiliensis (rubber tree)
Lineage: Eukaryota; Viridiplantae; Streptophyta; Magnoliopsida; Malpighiales; Euphorbiaceae
Source: RNAcentral